AUGAAGACAGGGCAUACAAGGUCCAUCUCUCUGAGAUUCCUCCCACUGAUGCUUGAGCGCUUCCACCAGUGCACCAGCAUCUUUGAAGAUGCCUAUUAUCAAAAGCUGUGCUGCCACAGGCUGCACCACUUCCUGGGCACCCUGGCACAGAGUACCGUUCCAAGAGAAGAGGCCUGUGCAAAGCAGAGAUAUAUCUAUUUGCAAGCUGAGUUUCUGUGUGGAGGAAGAAUGCUGACUGGAGAACUGUGAACAGCCAAGGCAGCUGCUUUUCAAAGGAAAGAGUUGCCUGUUGCUCCUUGCCAUUUGCCAGUAGUAGGGAAAACCACAUUAUUUCAUUGUCCUGUGAUGCAGCUCAGGAAAACUGCCAAAGGUGAGAAUUGCCAUUGUGUAUCUGGACAUAUGCUCUUACCCUCUUCUCUGCCUUCUAUCCCACUCCUGCCUCAUACUUCAUUUGCUGAAGGAAGAGUCUGCACUGAGGGAUGCCUUAUCUCAAGUGCUGCUCAUAGUAAUUUUGCCUUUCUCCUGUAAAAAUGUGUCUUGUAGGGUAGAAGCAGUGUUUGCUUCGGGAGUCCAGUCUUUCUUCAUUGAGUAAAUACUGCUGGAGUGAUGGGAAGAGGAGCCAGAUGGAAGUGGCAGUGUUUGCUGCUUCAUGCCUGCAACACUUGGCCUGGGCUUUUGCUGUCCAGAACUUUGAGAAGUGUCCAAGAAGGUGUACAAGAAAACCUGGUCCUUCUUUUGUCACUGGGCUGAUGGCUUUCUUACAAUGUGACUGAGCUGCCUCUUUGUUCUGUCUGAUGAGGUGCCUGUGGUGAGAAUCAUGUCUAUUUAUGACCGAAAGGGGAAGCAGAGAGGGAGAAGCCAAAUGCCCAUUUUUCUUCUGCCCCAGGCAGGAACAACCCAUACAAAACCAAUUGUACUCUUAGCUUGUUUGAGUCUGGACUUUUACAGAGAGAGGAGAUCCCUAGUUUUAGUUCUUGGGGGUAUUCAAAUGGCUCUGGCCUCCUCAUUUGCUUUGCACAAGUGAAGCGGGGCAGCCUAGGUUCUCAGAGCCAGGUUCAUAUGUCUUUUGCCCCUGCUCUCUGGGGGCUCCUUCCCUGUAGGAAAGACCUCUUCAAACUUCCAUCUCAUUGACCUGGUAGACAGAAGCCUGGCAUUGUGGAGUGGCUUCUGGAAAGCUUCAUUGGCCACCAUCUCCUUGCCUCUGCCCUGCCUUUGCAGCUGGCAUGGUGGGGGAGAGACAUUGCCUUGUCCUGGAAGGGAGUGCUGCUUCUGUCCGAUGUCUCUGCCUUGCCAGAAAGGGAGCCAGAUGUCUGUGGGAACAGGAAUUGCUGAGUAGAUCCAAGAAAUUUUUUUUUAACAGUUUUUUUACAGCAAGGAUGAAGUACAGUAUUGCAUGGGCUUCUUAAAGCUGCUUUGAAAUACCCAAGGGCUUGAUUUGCUGCAUGUUUUUUAUGUUGGUCCAGCUUAGCCUUUCUUUGAUUCUCAAUAUUUUGUCAUGUCUCUUACCUCCUUUGUUGUCCUGUACAAAAGGAGAAUGAAGCUACAAAGGAUGCAUGAAUUGAGGCGAAGUACAUAAUUUUCACAAGACUCUAAAUAUUUGUCUUGGUAUGUAAUAAAGUAGUGGAU
This is a long non-coding RNA of Cyanistes caeruleus (blue tit), 1626 nucleotides long. The record is from Ensembl. Lineage: Eukaryota; Metazoa; Chordata; Aves; Passeriformes; Paridae.